GUGGAUUAGAUACCCUGGUAGUCCUGGCAGUAAACGGUGCACGUUUGGUGUGGGCGGAUUCGACCCCGUCUGUGCCGGAGCUAACGCGUUAAACGUGCCGCCUGGGGAGUACGGUCGCAAGAUUAAAACUCAAAGAAAUUGACGGGGGCCCGCACAAGCGGUGGAGUAUGUGGCUUAAUUCGAUGCAACGCGAAGAACCUUACCAGGCCUUGACAUGCAUUGUGUCGGCGGUGAAAGCCGCCUAGUGUAGCAAUACACGCCUUGCACAGGUGCUGCAUGGCCGUCGCCAGCU
Molecule: ribosomal RNA, 292 nt
Filed under: uncultured bacterium
Lineage: Bacteria
Description: partial 16S ribosomal RNA
Rfam family: Bacterial small subunit ribosomal RNA
Source: RNAcentral